This 641-nucleotide ribosomal RNA is filed under the name Arthrobacter sp. I14A-00824. Its description in RNAcentral is "bacterial SSU rRNA". It matches the Rfam family "Bacterial small subunit ribosomal RNA", at positions 94 to 746 of the family's 1533-position model. Lineage: Bacteria; Bacillati; Actinomycetota; Actinomycetes; Micrococcales; Micrococcaceae. The record is from RNAcentral.
AUAGGCGAACGGGUGAGUAACACGUGAGUAACCUGCCCUUGACUCUGGGAUAAGCCUGGGAAACUGGGUCUAAUACCGGAUAUGACCAUUCCACGCAUGUGGUGGUGGUGGAAAGCUUUUGCGGUUUUGGAUGGACUCGCGGCCUAUCAGCUUGUUGGUGGGGUAAUGGCCUACCAAGGCGACGACGGGUAGCCGGCCUGAGAGGGUGACCGGCCACACUGGGACUGAGACACGGCCCAGACUCCUACGGGAGGCAGCAGUGGGGAAUAUUGCACAAUGGGCGAAAGCCUGAUGCAGCGACGCCGCGUGAGGGAUGACGGCCUUCGGGUUGUAAACCUCUUUCAGUAGGGAAGAAGCCGCAAGGUGACGGUACCUGCAGAAGAAGCGCCGGCUAACUACGUGCCAGCAGCCGCGGUAAUACGUAGGGCGCAAGCGUUAUCCGGAAUUAUUGGGCGUAAAGAGCUCGUAGGCGGUUUGUCGCGUCUGCUGUGAAAGACCGGGGCUCAACUCCGGUUCUGCAGUGGGUACGGGCAGACUAGAGUGCAGUAGGGGAGACUGGAAUUCCUGGUGUAGCGGUGAAAUGCGCAGAUAUCAGGAGGAACACCGAUGGCGAAGGCAGGUCUCUGGGCUGUAACUGACGC